CAGGUGCAGAGCUCGCACCUUCAGGGCACUCAGGUGCGCUGCCUUUGUUUGGAGGAUAAACAGUAGAGGUGUGGGUCCUGCUUCCCUGGGCCUACACAGCAGAGCAGCCUCCAAUGCUCUGCUGACCCCUGGGACUCAGGCUCUCUGUGCGCUGGGAUACGGUUAUUUUCCUGGUGCUUGUUCUCUGCAGGGCCGGCCCUGACCCCCAUCUCUCGCAAGAAUUGUAUGGAUGCCCAUUUCCAGAUACUUGUUCAGCAACCCUCAAACCAGAUGCACGUCUGUCUUUGGGUCAGUAAUCUGUACCCUGAAUCGGCAAUCAGAGCGUCACGACAGAACUGUGUAUCAACACCACUAGUCUAUUUUUCCUGUUCAUCAAAGUUCCUCAUUAACGAUCAGAAAACAUGGACCAUGUAAAGUGGCCCAUGCUAUCUCUACUGACGAAGGAAACCCUUGCACAAACCAGGAAGCGUGGAGAAGACAGGAGACAGAGGGAUCCACCAGGAAGGGCGGAAAUGCAGCUUCAACACCCUCCCCUCAGGUCAAUUUGAAAUUCUGGAUUCGGCAUCUACUGACCCAAGGGAGUGCACGUGGCAUCCUGUGUGCAGCACCUUCGGACCCAGCUGUGGUAGAACCUGGCACAGCCAGUGGGCCCUGUCACGGUGGCCUGGAGGAGCCCCAGAGGACAGCGACAGGAACCAGGACCCUGGCAGGGUUUAUUUUCCAGUUUCUGGGUAAAGAGGAAAGAACUGAGACUAGGAAUAGAACCUGGAAACCAGCUGCACAUGCAGGAAGUGCCUUUCACCUCCUGCCAUGAUUCUGAGGACUCCCCAGUCAUGUGGAACUGUAA
RNAcentral lists this long non-coding RNA (847 nucleotides) under Homo sapiens (human). Its description in RNAcentral is "HSALNT0026241". The record is from RNAcentral. Lineage: Eukaryota; Metazoa; Chordata; Mammalia; Primates; Hominidae.